Molecule: long non-coding RNA, 857 nt
Organism: Nicotiana attenuata
Lineage: Eukaryota; Viridiplantae; Streptophyta; Magnoliopsida; Solanales; Solanaceae
Exons: 4
Source: RefSeq, a predicted model, not a curated record
CCCAUCUUGUCUUCCGGAGACCGGAGGAGUUGGGCCACCAAUUGAAGCCCAGCAAAAAGACUCUUUUGCUCCUCCCGGUAAAGCUUCUCUGCUCCGUCUGUUAUCAGACUUCCGAACGAAAUCACGGUGACGACAGCAGGAUACAACAAUCAGCGUCUCCGGAAUGAGUGCAGUGACAAGAAAUUACAACUCAACUCAAGACUAUUACAGGAAUUAGAGAUACUAAACUGAAAUACAAAAGAUAGAGAAGAAAGGAUGAGAAGCUCAGACUCAGAGCAAGGAGAUCAGAGGAUACAGACACUCGGAGAAAGAAAUGAGAAGGGGAGCAUUUGGAGGAAAUAGAGGACUGAGACCCGUUCCACCAGAAAAAGGAGUUUUUCCUUUGGAUCACAUGCAUUUAUGUGACGUGGAGAAGAAGGAAUACCUCAACUGUCUUAAAUCUGCUGGGCAUAAAUCCGAGGAGUGUAGACACCUCUCCAGAAAGUACCUGGAGUGCCGUAUGGAGAAGUAAGUCCAUUAGUUUGGCUUUGAAUACAUUUUAGAAUAUUUAAUUCUUCUAUAUCAACAACAACAACAACAAAAACCCAGUGUAAUCCCACAAGUGGAGUAUGGGGAGGAUAGUGUGUACGCAGACUUUACCCCUACCUUGAGAAGGUAGAGAGGUUGUUUCCGAUAGACCCUCAGCUUUAAUUCUUCUAUAUCUAGUAUACUUUAGCACACAACUUGAUGUAGUCACCAAAGGUCUCAGUUGCUUUGGUCAUUGCACUAUUUUGUUUUCGAGUUUGUAUAACUUCUUAGAACUAGAUUAUUCAUAAAGCCACCUAUAAAACUUGGUAAAAAAUUAAAUUCAUCUUCAA